UAUAUAUUAGUGUAUUAGCACAAAAGAUUUUGAUUCUUUAAGAUUUAAUUAACUUUAUUAUAUAUAA
This 67-nucleotide transfer RNA is filed under the name Tinodes chinchinus. RNAcentral's name for it is "tRNA-Gln". The record is from RNAcentral. Lineage: Eukaryota; Metazoa; Arthropoda; Insecta; Trichoptera; Psychomyiidae.